This 522-nucleotide ribosomal RNA is filed under the name Triticum aestivum (bread wheat). RNAcentral's name for it is "partial small subunit ribosomal RNA". Lineage: Eukaryota; Viridiplantae; Streptophyta; Magnoliopsida; Poales; Poaceae. The record is from RNAcentral.
AAAUUAGGAAUCAAGCGAAGACAGCUUCAGAGCAGCCGGACUGUGUUCCACGGAAUCGUCACUGGCCUUUCCUGCUCACCAAUCGGCAAGAUCCUGAUAGAUGUCCUCUUCAGAGACAAAGAUCAUUUCCGCCGAGAGCCAAUUUGGUUUGAGGUGGUGGACCUUGAGAGCCCAUAUCAUGCACUGCUUGGCCGACCCGCCUUGGCCAAGUUCAUGGCGGUCCCCCACUACGCCUACCUCAAGAUGAAGAUGCCGAGUUCCAGGGGAAUCCUAACCGUGUCCGGCGACUACAGGAAGUCGUCCGCUUGCACGGCUGAAAGCAGUCGGCUGGCCGAGUCCUUGGUGAUCGCAGCUGAGAAACGGCUCCUUGAUCGGGUCGUGGCGAUGGCCGGCAAGCAGCCCGAGUUAUCGCCCGACCCCAAGGAGUCGGAAGCAGAAGGAUCAUUCAAGCCGGCCAGAGAAACAAAGAAGAUACCGUUGGACUCGGAGCACCCGGAGAGGUACGCUAUCAUGGGCACAGGC